CAGCGUAUCAAGAAACAGAUUAAUGCCCACUGUUUAUUUGGCUCUCUUGAGAACUGCAACAAUUUAGCUUUGCAGGAGUUCUGAUAAGCUGCUCUUCCCAAGUAAAAUGCUCCUGUUGAUGUUUCUGUGAACUAUGAUGAAGAGCAAGCACACUACCAACUCAUUUUCACCAGGGUUUGGUGUGAAGCUCUCCAUCAGCUUAACUACAGAAAGCCAAAAGAAAACAGAAGGCAAAACCCAAAACAAAUGGACCCCUCUUAGGCAUGACAUUUUGCAUACGCUGGUAUUAGAAGAAUGAAUCACAAAAUAUCAACAAAAUCACUCACAAAUUGUAUACAGCAAAAGCAGUUCCAGGCUUUCCUGCUCUCCCGGUCCUAAUACAGUUACCGACCACUGCAUUUUUUCUGCAUGACUUGGCAAUGUUGUCUUUGUUGGCUCUUCCCUGUGUGGAGCCUCAGAAGGAAGAGGAAGAUGGAGCAUACAGAGUCCAGACUGCAAAAGACUUCACAGCUUCAUCUCAUCCUUUCUAUCCAUAUCAGUGUAAAUAUUUUUUAGCAAUCAAUAACUUUCUAACAUCACUUCUGUGAUUUAAUUUGUGCUAUAAGAAGUAUAAGUACAAUUUCUUUUUAAAAAGUACAGCAAGUAGUCUUUAGAUAUAAGUACUAUUUCUAGCAGUAGAAGACUAAAGAGAGUGGAAAAAUACAAGUAGCUGAAAUCGGUAAUAAAAUAGUAAUUGUUACAAGUUUUCA
Molecule: long non-coding RNA, 749 nt
Filed under: Lepidothrix coronata (blue-crowned manakin)
Lineage: Eukaryota; Metazoa; Chordata; Aves; Passeriformes; Pipridae
Description: lncRNA (ENSLCOG00000011889.1)
Source: RNAcentral